AGGAUGUUACUUUUGAUUGUUUGUGUAGAGCUGGUGCUGUGGUGGCUAAGUAUGGAGACAAAAGUGUAUACUUUGAUUUAGAAGAUUUGGGUAACACAACAGGACAAUGGGAUGUGUAUGGAUCUGAUGCUCCUUCUCCUUAUAACCCACUUCA
RNAcentral lists this small RNA (154 nucleotides) under Arabidopsis thaliana (thale cress). RNAcentral describes it as "ATSL052790". The record is from RNAcentral. Lineage: Eukaryota; Viridiplantae; Streptophyta; Magnoliopsida; Brassicales; Brassicaceae.